UACGAAGGGGGCUAGCGUUGUUCGGAAUCACUGGGCGUAAAGGGCGCGUAGGCGGCGCGGGUAGUCAACGGUGAAAGCUUGGGGCUCAACCCCGAGUCGGCCGUCGAUACUCCCGUGCUUGAGCACUGUAGAGGCAGGUGGAGUUCCGGGUGUAGCGGUGGAAUGCGUAGAGAUCCGGAAGAACACCGGUGGCGAAGGCGGCCUGCUGGGCAGUAGCUGACGCUGAGGCGCGACAGCGUGGGGAGCAAACAGG
RNAcentral lists this ribosomal RNA (253 nucleotides) under uncultured bacterium. RNAcentral describes it as "partial 16S ribosomal RNA". It matches the Rfam family "Bacterial small subunit ribosomal RNA", at positions 524 to 776 of the family's 1533-position model. The record is from RNAcentral.